GGUGUGCAUACAACUUGCUUGCUCACGAAGACCUAAGGCAAUUUUGAGGAAGCCUAUCAUUGGAAUAUACAAGCCAAGUUAUAUAAUGAGAAUCUCCCACUAGCUAUAUGGUGGUGACAAAACGAGAGACUAUCAAUCAUGAAGAUCAUGGUGCUCAAAAUGCACAAGUGUGGAAAAAGUGGUAGCAUUGUCACUUCUCUCUUUUUCUCUCAUUUUCAUUUUUUUGGUGGGCUCUUUGGCCUCCUUUUUUAUGGGCUUCUUUGGCCUAUUUUUAUUUCCUCACAUGGGACAAUGCUCCAAUAAUGAUGAUCAUCACACUUUCCACUCAAAACUUAGAGCAACUAUGACUCUAUAUGGAAUGCCUUCGGUAGUGUACCGUGGCAAUGAUCUAGCAUGGCAUAGAUAUCAAUGGAAACAUCAUGCUAGCUAUCUUACGAUCGUGCAAAGGCAAUGUAGACAUGGUGGCACAUGUCAUGGUGGUAG
This 483-nucleotide long non-coding RNA is filed under the name Hordeum vulgare. Its description in RNAcentral is "long non-coding RNA (HVUL_LNC005462)". The record is from RNAcentral. Lineage: Eukaryota; Viridiplantae; Streptophyta; Magnoliopsida; Poales; Poaceae.